UGGGGAAUCUUGCACAAUGGGGGAAACCCUGAUGCAGCGACGCCGCGUGAGUGAUGAAGCCCUUCGGGGUGUAAAGCUCUUUCGGCAGGAACGAUAAUGACGGUACCUGCAGAAGAAGUCGCGGCUAACUACGUGCCAGCAGCCGCGGUAAUACGUAGGCAGCAAGCGUUGUUCGGAGUUACUGGGCGUAAAGAGUGUGUAGGCGGUCAGCUAAGUUCGGUGUGAAAUCUCCCGGCUCAACUGGGAGGGUGCGCCGAAGACUGGCAGGCUUGAGUGCGGGAGAGGAAAGCGGAAUUCCUGGUGUAGCGGUGAAAUGCGUAGAUAUCAGGAGGAACACCUGCGGUGUAGACGGCUUUCUGGACCGCAACUGACGCUGAGGCGCGAAAGCUAGGGGAGCAA
RNAcentral lists this ribosomal RNA (399 nucleotides) under uncultured bacterium. RNAcentral describes it as "bacterial SSU rRNA". It matches the Rfam family "Bacterial small subunit ribosomal RNA", at positions 355 to 771 of the family's 1533-position model. The record is from RNAcentral.